RNAcentral lists this ribosomal RNA (468 nucleotides) under uncultured bacterium. Its description in RNAcentral is "bacterial SSU rRNA". It matches the Rfam family "Bacterial small subunit ribosomal RNA", at positions 329 to 795 of the family's 1533-position model. The record is from RNAcentral.
UACCAGACUCCUACGGGAGGCAGCAGUGAGGAAUAUUGGUCAAUGGGCGCGAGCCUGAACCAGCCAAGUAGCGUGAAGGAUGACUGCCCUACGGGUUGUAAACUUCUUUUAUAAAGGAAUAAAGUGAGGCACGUGUGCCUUUUUGUAUGUGUUUUAUGAAUAAGGAUCGGCUAACUCCGUGCCAGCAGCCGCGGUAAUACGGAGGAUCCGAGCGUUAUCCGGAUUUAUUGGGUUUAAAGGGUGCGUAGGCGGAACAUUAAGUCAGCGGUAAAAUCGAGGGGCUCAACCCCUUUAAGCCGUUGAAACUGGUGAUCUUGAGUGGGCGAGAAGUAUGCGGAAUGCGUGGUGUAGCGGUGAAAUGCAUAGAUAUCACGCAGAACUCUGAUUGCGAAGGCAGCAUACCGGCGCCCGACUGACGCUGAGGCACGAAAGCGUGGGGAUCGAACAGGAUUAGAUACCCGUGUAUCC